ACUCAAAGGAAUUGACGGGGGCCCGCACAAGCGGAGGAACAUGUGGUUUAAUUCGAUGAUACGCGAGGAACCUUACCUGGGCUUAAAUGGGGAGUGACGUUAUCAGAGAUGGUAAUUUCUUCGGACACUCUUCAAGGUGCUGCAUGGUUGUCGUCAGCUCGUGCCGUGAGGUGUCGGGUUAAGUCCCAUAACGAGCGCAACCCUUACUGUUAGUUGCCAUCGGGUAAAGCCGGGGACUCUAGCGGGACUGCCACCGUAAGGUGAGAGGAAGGUGGGGAUGACGUCAAAUCAGCACGGCCCUUAUGUCCAGGGCUACACACGUGUUACAAUGGCCGGUACAGAGGGCAGCUACACUGCGAAGUGAUGCGAAUCCCGAAAGCCGGUCUCAGUUCGGAUCGAAGUCUGCAACCCGACUUCGUGAAGUUGGAUUCGCUAGUAAUCGCGCAUCAGCCAUGGCGCGGUGAAUACGUUCCCGGGCCUUGUACACACCGCCCGU
RNAcentral lists this ribosomal RNA (496 nucleotides) under uncultured bacterium. RNAcentral's name for it is "bacterial SSU rRNA". It matches the Rfam family "Bacterial small subunit ribosomal RNA", at positions 899 to 1397 of the family's 1533-position model. The record is from RNAcentral.